GUCCUCAGGGCUGCCUUGUCCAUCUGCCAAGGAGCUGCACCGUCUCCUCCCACCUCUGCAACAGCAGCACCUUCACCGACCUGCUCUUAUUCAUCUUGUCACCAUCGUCCAUCUUCCUCCUGCCUCUGUGUGGCCACCUGAGCCCAGGCAAUGCUUCCGUAUCUUCUGAAGUUGGAGAUAUGCGUGGACAGCAAUUCUACGAACAGACAUGCACCCUGAGUAGUGUCCUGUGAUUGUGGGUCACACCUGUGCAAGGUGAUGUCACACAGCCGCGGAUGCGGGUGAGGCAGGCUGACACGGACGCCCCUUGCGGGUAGGCUCCUCCAUGCAGGAGUGGAUUCCAACUCAAGAGACCACUUUCUCUGCUCAUCCAUAAAAAACAACUUCUCAUUCAUUCAAGGAUUAUCCUGAGACUGCAGCAAUUCAGUCCCUCUUCAGGCUCCACUUCCAAUUCUAGUUCUCUUGCUGUUUCCACCAUGUCUGCAGUGACGUCCUCCACGGAAGUCUUGAACCCCUCAAAGCUAUCCCUGAGGGUUGGAAUCAACUUCUUCCAAACUAAUGUUCAUGUUGAUAUUUUGACUUCUGCCCCCGAAUCACAAAUGUUCUUAAUGGCAUCUAGAAUGGUGAACCCUACGCAGAAGUUUUUCAAUGGACUUUGCCCAGAUCCAUCAGAGGAAUCACUUUCUAUGGCACCUAUAACUUUACAACAUGUAUUUCUUAAAUAAUAGGGCUUGAAAGUCAAAAUUACUCCUUCAUCUAUGGGCUGCAGAAUGGAUGUUGUGUCAACAGGCAUGAAAACAUUCAUCUCCUUGUACGUCUCCAUCAGAGCUCCUGGGUGGCCAGGCGCAUUGUCCAUGAGCAGUACAGUUUUUAGUUUUGGGGUGUUUUUUUUUGAGACAGAGUCUCAGUCUGCUGCCCAGGCUGGAGUGCAGUGGUGCAAUCUCAGCUCACUGCAACCUCCACCUCCUAGGUUCAAGCGAUUCUCCUGCCUCAUCUUCCUGAGUAGCUGGGACUACAGAUGCGUGCCAGGCUGGUCUCAAACUCCUGACCUCAGGUGAUCCACUUGCCUCGGCCUCCCAAAGUGUUGAGAUUACAGGCUUGAGCCACCGUGCCCGGCUUGAGCAGUACAGUUUUAAAGAAACCUUUUUCUGAGCAGUAGAUCUCAACUGUGGGUUUAAAAUAUUCCAUAAAUCAUGCUGUAAACAGACAUGCUGCCAUUCUGGCUUUGUUCUUCCAUCCAUAGAGCACAGGAAGAGCAGCUACUGCAUAAUUCUUAGGACCUAGGAUUUUCAGAAUGGUAGGUGAACAUCGGCUUCACCUUAAAAUCACCAGCUGCAUUAGCCCCUAACAAGAGAGCCAGCCUGUCCUUUGAAGCUUUGAGGCGAGGCAUGACUUUUUCUCUCUUGCUGUGAAAGUCUCAGGCGGCCUCUUCUUCCAGUAGGAGGCUGUUACACCUGCAAUAAAAAUCUUUUGUUCAGUGGAGUCACCUUCAUCAAGGAUCUUGGCUGGAUCUUCUGGGGAACUUGCUGCAGCUUCUCCAUCAGCACCUGCUGCUUCACCUUGCACUUAUGCUCUGGAGAUGGAUUCUUUCCUUAAACCUCACAAACAAACCUCUGGUCACUUCCAACUUUUCUUCGACAGCUUUCUCCCUCUCUCAGCCUUCAUGGAAUUGAAGAGAAUCAGAGUCUUGCUCUGGAUUAGGCUUUGGCUUCAGGGAAUGUUGUGGUUGGUUUGAUCUUCUCUCCAGACCACUCAAACAAUAACGCUGUUUUGCUUUCUUAUCAUUCGUGAGUUCAGGGAGGCGUAUUUCAAGAAGUUUCCCUUCACAUUCACAAUGUGGAUAACCGUUUGGCAUAAGAGUUUUUGGUCUACCCUGGCUUUCAACGUUCCUUCCUCACUCAGCUUAAUCAUUUCUAGCUUUUGAUUUAAAGUGAGAGAUGUGUGACUCUUCCUUUCACUUGAACACUUAGAGGCCAUGGUGGGGUUAUUCAUGGGCCUCACACCAAUACUGCUGCAUCUCAGGGAAGAGAAGAGGACAGGGAGAGAGGUGUGGGAAUGGCUGGUCUGUGGAGCAGUCAAAACACACACAUUUAUCAAUUAAGUUCACCGUCUUAUGUGGUCAUAGUACAUGGUGUCCCAAAACAGUUACACUAAUAAUAUCCAAGAUCACUGACUGCGAUAAAAAAUGUAAUAAUAAGACCAGAUGUGGUGGUUCAUGCCUGUAAUCCCAGCACUUUGGGAGGCUAAGACAGGAGGAUCACUUGAGCCCAAGAGUUUGAGACCAAUUUAGGCAAUAGAGAUCUCAUUUCUACAAAUUUUUUAAAAAAUUAACUGGGUGUGAUGGUGGCCCCUGUAAUCUUAGCUCCUUGGGAGGCUGAGGUGGGAGGAUCGCUUGGGUCUGGGAGACUGAGGCUGCAGCGAGCGUGAUUGCACCCACUACACUCCAGCCUGAGGAACAGAGUGAGACCCUGUGUUGGGAUAAUCACCAGAAUGGGACAGAGAUGCAAAGUGAGUACGUGCUGGUGGAAAACUGGCACCAAUAGGCUUGCUCGACACAGGGUUCCCACCAACCUUCAAUUUGUCAAAUAGGCAACAACUGCAAAGCACAGUAGAGUGGAGCUCAAUAGGACACGGCACAGCUCAGGGGCCCUGGGUGUGCUCUGCCAUGCUCAGGCUGGGGAGCCAGGGGAGGACUCUGUGUGAUGGGCAUUGGCACUGGGAGACACGCGGAGGAGACAGGACGUGACCUCACCCUGGCAAGAAGGUUGGACAAGGCACAGGCCGGCCUCCCAGUGAAAAUAACAGACAGAAGCCAGGAGGAAGAACCACUCAGGAUUGGGAAGAGCCGUUAAAUAAGUUACACACAAAGAAGAUAAGAACAGGACUCUAUCUUAAUGCUAGAAGAAGAAUAUGAAGAAGAGGGAGGAGGAAGAGAAGAAGAAGAAGAAAAAGAAGGAGGCUGGGAUUACAUGCCUGUAAUCCCAGCACGUUGGGAGGCUGAGGUGGGCAGACCACCUGAGGUCAAGAGUUCGAGACCAGCCCGCCCUGCCAAUAUGGCAAAACUCCAUCUCUACUAGAAAUACAAAAAUUAGCUGGGCAUGGUUGUGGGCACCUGUAAUCCCAGCUACUUGGGAGGCUGAGGCAGGAGAAUCACUUGAACUCGGGAGGCUGAGAUUGCAGUGAGCUGAGAUCGUGCCACUGCACUCCAGCCUGGGCGACAGAGUGAGACUCAGUCAAAAAAAAAAAAAAAAAAAAAAAAGAAGAAGAAGAAGGAGAAGAAAAGGAAGGAGAAAAAGUAGCUCUGAUAAGCCAUGGAGAGCCACUAAAGGUGUCUGGAGAAGGAUUUCUGCUUUCAUAAAAAAUGGAGUAAAAGAGCCCAGAUAUACUCUCCACAGGAAACAAACCCAAAUGGGUAAAAUAUAUAAAACCCAACCCAAAAUGGGCAAACUAUAUGAAACAAUGUGUUAUUCUGAGACUGUUAUUAAGAUAACAAAAGACAGUGAUUCCUGAGCAGGGGAAAGCAGGGUAGGUGAACCCAGGGACUGUCCUGAUUAUUACCUAGAGGCAGUACACAGACAGGGCCAGUGGACAUCCGGAGUGGAGGAGACAUUACUGAGAGUUUAGGGAGAUCAAAGCAGACAGCGUUCAAAGCUUGGGGUGCGAUGGAGGGGAGGCCUUCCGAGAGAAAGAAUGACACGGGUCUGCAGAGGGUCUCCCUCAAAUAUUCCUGAGUGUUUAUCAGCAUAGGCACGUGAGGAAAGUGCCUGAAGCCAGGAAGAAAACUGCUGGGCAGGACACGUCUGUGCUCACACCGAGCUAUGAAUGAUGCCUGCUCCCCACAGACAGACCAACCAACCAACAAAACUAGGACUUGUGGGCAUCCAGCAGGGUGCACAGAAGGGCCCGCCCCUGUCAUGGAAAUAGACUGAGCAUUGCUUCGGUUCUGCUGAACAAAUCCUAAAAGCAAGCUCCAAGAAGAUGAACCUGUUUCUGUGUAACUUAACUACAUCCCAAAACAAAGCUCAAAUAUAUACAUACAUAUAUGGGUGUGUGUGUAUAUAUCUAUAUAUACAGAGUCUCACUCUGUUGCCCAGGCUGGAGUGCAAAGGCACAAUCUUGGCUCACUGCAACCUCCACCUCCUGGGUUCAAGUGAUUCUCAUGCCUCAGCCUCCUAAAUAGCUGGGAUUACAGGCGCCCACCACACCUGGCUAAUUUUUUUUUUUGUAUUUUUAGUAGAGAUGGGGUUUGGCUAUGGUGGCCAGACUGGUCUUGAACUCCUGACCUCAGGUGAUCCAUCCACCUCAGCCUCCCAAAGUGCUGGGAUUACAGGCAUGAGCCACUGUGCUCGGCCCAAAGCUCAAUAUAUUUAGGAGCAUGAAAAUAUCCAUCACCCAACAAGGUACAAUUUACAAUAUCUGGCAUCCAGUAAAAAAUUACCAGGCAUGCAGGAAAACAGGAUCCAUAAUGAGGAGAAAAAUCAAUCAACUGAAAUUAUCCUGAAAAGGCACAAUUUUGGACUCCCAGUAAAGGAUAUUAAAAGGCCAUUUUGUAAUGAGAAAAGGGUUAUUGCAUCAAGAGGACAUAACACUUUUAAACAUUUAUGCACGUAACAACAGAACUGAGCUUCAAAAUUCAUGAAGCAAAGACUGAUAGAACUGCUGGGAGGAACAGAAAAAUCCGCAGUUGUAAUUAGAGAUUUAAAUAUGCCUGUUUCAAUAAUAUAUAGAAAAAGUCGACAGAAAAUCAGUAAAGAUACAGAAAAUUUAAGCAACACUAUCAACCAACUUGACCUAAUGGAAAUUUAUGGAAUGCUCCACCAAAUAACAGCAGAAUACACAUGACUUUUAAGUCCACAUGGAAUAUUAACCAAGGAAGACCAUAUUUUUGGUUAUAAAACAAGUCUCAAUAAGUUUAAAAGGAUUUCAAGUCUUAUAAAGUAUGUGUUCUUACCACAAUGGAGUUAAAUUAGAAAUUAAUAACAGAAUGAUCUUUAGACAAUCUCCCAAUGUUUGGAAACUAAGUAACAUUUCUAAAUGACCCAUGGAUCAAAGAAUAAAUCAAAAGAUAUCUUAAGAAGUAUUUUGGACUGAAUAUGAAAUACAAAAAAAAAGAACUAAAAUACAAACAUUAAAAUAUAUCAUCAUGUAUGAGAUGUUAUCAAAAGGGUAAUUAGGGGAGAAUUUAUAUCUCUAAAGGCCAAUAUUAGAAAAAAAAAUCUCAAAUCAACGAUCUUCAUUUCCACCUUCCAAAAUUAGAAAAAGUAAAGAGGGGAAAAAAAACAAUAAAGAUCAGAGUGGAAAUCACUGAAAUAGAUGAAAACAGAAAAACAGUUGAGAAAAUAACUGAAACAAAAAGUUCAUUCUUUGUGAAGGCAAAUGCAAUUGAUAAGCCUCUAGCCACACAGCUCAGGAAAAAAAGAGAAAAGAUAUAAAUUACUGCUAUGAGAGUUGGAAGAGGAAUCAUUGCAGGUGCUCCAAAUAUGAAAGGGAUAAUGAGGCAAUAUCAUGAACAACUUUAUGGCAAUAAAUUCAACAACUCAGAGGAAAUUGAAAAAUUCUUCACAAACACAACAUACCAAAACUCACUCGAGAAGACAUAGGUAAUAUGAAUAUCCCUAUAGCUAGUAAAGACAUUUCAGAUAAGGAAAACAAAAACAAAAACAAAAACCAAACUUUAAACUUUCCCACAAAGAAAACCCAAGGCCCAAAUGGCUUUGCUGGUGAAUUCUCCAAUCCUUCCAAACAUUUAAAAAAGAAGUAAGGCCAGGCGUGGUGGCUCACACCUGUAAUCCCAGCACUUUGGGAGGCCAAGGUGGGCGGGUCACGAGGUUAGGAGAUCGAGACCAUCCUGGCUAACACGGUGAAACCCCGUCUCUACUAAAAAUACAAAAACAUUAGCCGGGCGUGGUGGCGGGUGCCUGUAGUCCCAGCUACUCUACUCAGGAGGCUGAGGCAGGAGAAUGGUAUGAACCCAGGAGGCGGAGGUUGCAGUGAGCUGAGAUGGCAUCUCAAAAUCAAUCAAUAUAAUUCACCACAUUGCCAAACCAAAAAAUUAAAACCGUAGGAUCAUCUCAACAGAUGCAGAGAGAUACUCGAUGAAACCCAAGACCAUUUUCUGAUACGAAGCCUCAGUGAGGCAGCUGCCGAGAGGAACACGCUCAACCCGAUGGGCCUGCCUUGAAAUGCCGACAUCUAACACCAAGGCGCAAGGUGAAGGAGUGAGUCCCUUUCCCCCAAGAUGAGGAAAAACAGAGGGUUUCUGUUCUCACCACUUUGACUGAACUUUGUAUUAAAGAUUUCAGCCAGCGUAAUAAUAAAAGAAAAAGAAACAAAAGGCAUGUGAUUUGUUAAAAGGAAGCAAACUGUCUUCAUUCACAGACAACAUGAUCAUCUAAGUAGAAAAUCUGACAGAAUGUACAAAAAAGCUUCUAGAACGAAUGAGUAAAGUGAUAAGUGAGUUUCAAAGGGUGGCAGGAUAUAAGAUUGAUAAAUGUACAUCGACUGGACAACUGGCCAUUACUUACAAGUUAAAUGCAUACCUACUCUAGGGUCCAGAUACUCGGUUCCUAGGGAAUUACUUACAAGAAACGACAUCAGCCGGAAACGGUGGCUUAUGCCUGUAGUCCAGCACUUUGGGAGGCUGGGGUGGGUGGAUCACUUGAGGUCAUGAGUUCGAGACCAGCCUGGUCAACAUAGUGAAAUCCUGUCUCUACUAAAAAUACAAAAAUCAGCCAGGCAUGGUGGCGGGCAUCUGUAAUCCCAGCUACUAGGCAGGCUGAGGCAGGGAGAAUCACUUGAAUCCAGGAGGCGGAGUUUGCAGUGAGCUGAGAUCGUGCCACUGCACUCCAUCCUAGACAACAGAGUGAGACUCUAUCUCAAAAAACAAACAAACAAACAAAAGCCUGACAUCAUAGCUCCAUGAAAAGACUUGAAUAUGAAUAGACAUAAUAGUUUUAUUGUCGUAGCUCAAACUGCAAACAACCUAAAGGCCAUCAACAGAUGAAUGGCUACAUAAACUUUAGUCAAUCCACAUAAUGGAUGACUAUUCAGCAGGAUAAUGAAUGGAGCAUUGAUAAUUUUUUGAUAAUUGAUCAUUACAUUGAUAAUGUAACAACAUGGGUGAAUCCCAAGAUAACAAAGCCGUGUGGAAGCAUCCCCACAAAAGAGAUGAUAUGUUGCACGAUUCCAUUUAUAUAAGAUUCUGGUAAACGUACACUAACGUGCAGUGAUGGAGAGCAGCUGGGACGUGGGAGGAGCAGGCAGUCUGGGAGGAGGGAGCACAGGAGCUUUUGGGGGCAAUGGGUAGAUUCAUUCUCUGGAUUAUGGGGAUGGUGUCUCAGGUCUGCAUAUACGUCAGUGCUUAGGAAAGUGUAUGCUUUAAAUAUAUGUUAUUGCAUGUCCACCUCACCUAAGUAAAGCUGGCUUAGAAAUGUAAAAAAACAUGGGGUAGUGGUUGAAUAAAAAGCCUAUUUCAUCUUAGAAUUCUACUGUUAAAAUUUGGCUCCGGCCACUAUUAAGGUGAAAAAAAAAUCCAGCUUUAAAUUGUUAAAUUCUGUUAUUAUUUGUAUGUAAAUAAUUCAUUCUUUUGGAAGAAUGAAUUAUCUGGAUAAUUAUAGACUGCCAGCACUCAUUCCCUAUGACCAAGGCGAUGGCAUACUUCCUUAUCCAAACUAGACCACUUCUUCUUCUUCUUCUUCUUUUUUUUUUUCCUCUCUUGCCCAGGCUGGAGGGCAGUGGUGUGAUCUCGGCUCACUGCAACCUCCGCCUCCUGGGUUCGAGCGAUUCUCCUGCCUCAGACUUCUAAGUAGCUGGGAUUACAUGCACCUGGCUAAUUUUUUUAUAUUUUUAGUAGAGACGGGGUUUCACCAUGUUGUCCAGGCUGCUCUCAAACUCCUGACCUCAGAUGAUCCGCCCACCUCAGCCUCCCAAAGUGCUGGGAUUACAGGCAUGAGCCACCGCACCCAGCUAAACUAGGCCACUUCUGAGAACAAGGCAAUAGAUGACCACUGAGGCUGCCCUGGCAAACUGACCGAAGGUCAUCUCAUCUGGCCGAGGCCCCUGCUCCCAUCGGUCCCCACAGGACAUUCGGGACUCACCGUGGGCCACACCUCACUCCUGCAUCCUGGACCCCACACCUUCAUGGAACCUGCUCUCCCAUCCCCACUUCCUGGGCCUUCUAGAUUGGUGGUGGGCACUGGGCACCCUCCCCCGAUCCCCCUACCAUGAUUCCAGCAGGGAGUGUGUGUCCCGCAGGGCCUCUUCGAGUUCCUGCCAUUCCUGGUCCUCAGCAAAUCUUUGGCAGAAGAGUAAAUGAAUCGUCACAGACCUUGUUGGAUACAAAGUUGCUGUGGUCAGUGUGAAGUCUCACGUUUCAGCGAAUUUUCCUGGCAUGGGCAUUUGUGGCACAGAAGCCGGGUGGUCACCCGAGCACCCCCAAAGGCUGCAGCACACGUUCCGGUGGUGGGGGCUGUGGGGGCCUGCACGGGAGGAUCCUGGGGAAAGUGCUGGCCUUGUCUGCUCAGCUCUGAAUGUAGACACAGCAGCUUCUCCACGGGAGACUCACUGCUUCCUUCCCCAAGGUCUCACUCUCAGACUGAAUUAACACGUUGAAGGGUUCCCGUCUCAGCUUUUCCCCAAGGCAUGCCUUUCAAAGAAUGUUCCCUGAGUUGUGAAUGGCAGCAGAGCCCUUUUUAAGUAGAAGGUUAUUUUACUUCGGUAUCUACUGGUGAUUCCCAGCUUAAAACUAAACAGCUGGGGAAUCCUCCAUGAAACCUGUAGAGUUUCCAUGGCAACCUUUGUCCUAGAAAGGCAGGCCAGGGACCUGCCAUUCUGCAGCCCCACCUCGC
RNAcentral lists this long non-coding RNA (8846 nucleotides) under Homo sapiens (human). Its description in RNAcentral is "HSALNT0279222". The record is from RNAcentral. Lineage: Eukaryota; Metazoa; Chordata; Mammalia; Primates; Hominidae.